CCUACGGGUGGCAGCAGUCGAGAAUCAUUCACAAUGGGGGAAACCCUGAUGGUGCGACGCCGCGUGGGGGAAUGAAGGUCUUCGGUUUGUAAACCCCUGUCAUGUGGGCGCAAAUUAAAAAGAUAGUACCUCAAUAGGAAGAGACGGCUAACUCUGUGCCAGCAGCCGCGGUAAUACAGAGGUCUCAAGCGUUGUCCGGAAUCACUGGGCGUAAAGCGUUCGUAGGCUGUUUCGUAAGUCGUGUGUGAAAGGCGCGGGCUCAACCCGCGGACGGCACAUGAUACUGCGAGACUAGAGUAAUGGAGGGGGAACCGGAAUUCUCGGUGUAGCAGUGAAAUGCGUAGAUAUCGGGAGGAACACUCGUGGCGAAGGCGGGUUCCUGGACAUUAACUGACGCUGAGGCACGAAGGCCAGGGGAGCGAAAGGGAUUAGAUACCCUAGUAGUC
This 446-nucleotide ribosomal RNA is filed under the name uncultured bacterium. RNAcentral's name for it is "partial 16S ribosomal RNA". It matches the Rfam family "Bacterial small subunit ribosomal RNA", at positions 338 to 795 of the family's 1533-position model. The record is from RNAcentral.